AUGUGAUCGUCUCUCGCAUAUCAAUAAGCGGAGGAAAAGAAACUAACAAGGAUUCCCCUAGUAACGGCGAGUGAAGCGGGAAGAGCUCAAAUUUGAAAUCUUAAAGGGUUUCCCUUUACGAAUUGUAGUUUAAAGAAGUGUUUUCUGUUGAGGUUUUGGUAAAAGUUCUUUGGAAUAGGACAUCAUAGAGGGUGAGAAUCCCGUAUUUGACCUUUACUUUCAACUUUGUGAUACACUUUCAAAGAGUCGGAUUGUUUGGGAAUGCAGUCCAAAAUGGGUGGUAAAUUUCAUCUAAAGCUAAAUAUUGGCGAGAGACCGAUAGCGAACAAGUACCGUGAGGGAAAGAUGAAGAGAACUUUGAAAAGAGAGUUAAACAGUACGUGAAAUUGUCAAAAGGGAAGCGUUUGACACCAGUGUUGUUUUUCUGAAAAUCAAUUAAAGAGCUGUUUAUGCUAAGCUGUUUAGACUUUAUCAGCUAUCUGUUUAGUUUUGAGCUUUUCUUUAAUGCACUUUUCAGUUAACAAGUCAACAUCAAUUUCUUUUGCUGUAAAAAAGCUUGAGGAAGGUGGCUUGAGAUUCGUCUUAAGUGUUUAUAGCCUCUUGCCUAUGCAGUCGGAGAGAUUGAGGUCUGCAGCGUAGAUCCUUCGGGGCUAAAUGCAUUUGUGCUAAGUUAUAGCAUUUUAUAGACAACUUGUUGACUAUGAUUUGUCUUGUAGCUUACUCGCUUAUGUUAUUUUACCUACGCUUAGGAUGUUGAUCUACAGAGCGAGAGU
Molecule: ribosomal RNA, 773 nt
Filed under: uncultured Neocallimastigales
Lineage: Eukaryota; Fungi; Neocallimastigomycota; Neocallimastigomycetes; Neocallimastigales
Description: partial large subunit ribosomal RNA
Rfam family: Eukaryotic large subunit ribosomal RNA
Source: RNAcentral